CGGUGUUUAAUGAAAACAGGCACGGCGACUGCCGGGUGGACGUUUUAUUCGCGAGUACCUACCUACCUGCCUCUAUCUGCCUACACUUAAUGCGUACACGAUUUAUAUAAAUAUAUACGGAAGAAGGAGUUGCCAGACUGUAUAGAGAUACGAUCUUAAUGGCUGUGUCGGCGGAGAGCUCUGGCGUACCCUCGGCGUAACGAUGUCCGAAAAACCGGCGAGGUUU
Molecule: non-coding RNA, 226 nt
Organism: Cinara cedri
Lineage: Eukaryota; Metazoa; Arthropoda; Insecta; Hemiptera; Aphididae
Source: the annotation of a GenBank genome assembly